ACAUCGUAUCCAAGUCGGGUGAACUUAGCAUCCUCGAAGCGUGUGGUUGAUUGGUGUUUUGUUGUGGAGCGAAGGAUAUUUGUUGUUCAUUAUUUUUUUUAAAAAAUUGGUGACGUAGUGACACGCUCUGUAGAAUGAUACGGAUUCGAGGACCAGAGGAAUUAACUGCAGAAGAAAAGAAGAAAGCGAAAGAAGGAGUAAUAGGGAACAUUACAACGUUUUUCCUUUUAAUUGCAUUAAUCAGAGCAGUUCCAUACGCACUGAAACAGUUUUGAUGACUGGAAAAUCAUGAGGAAACUGUGUUUAAAAACAUGUGUCCUGUCGAACAAUCCACGCCUUUUGUGGUGUGGAAACUUUUGUAAAAUUUUUGUAGGUAUUGUUAAGCAGCCAGUCAGUCAAUGAACAUAGCAAAAACUGAUGUCGAUAGAGGAAAUCAUUUUAACAGUUAUAAGCAGAAAAAAAAAUUAUCUCCAAGUUCCUUAAAUUUGUUUUAUUAAGGAACAGCGAAAAAAACAUUAUUUUGCAUUGUGUUUGUUUAAUGAACAUGUAAAACAUUAAGAGUAUAUUUUGCUACUAAACUGCUGGACAGAAACUUGUUAUUCAAGUUACUAGCAUUACAGUUGGUCAGUCAUACAUGGAAAACUUCAUAAAUAAUAGAAUGAAUGUUGCUUGUGUAUUACCCAAAUGUUUGAAUAUAUGAGCCAUCUGGAGUUCUUAGUUUACACUGUGAUGCACACAUUAACUUCAGUCUCUUGUGGAACUGAAUAUAUUAUUUGCUUGUGAUGUACAAACCACUCCAGCCACCUCCUCCUCUUCCCAAAAAAAAGGUUCUCUCUUUGUAUUCUAGUUUUGUACAGACUGGAAUGGCAGUAGUAACUCCACUGACAGAGGUGGCACAGUGAUUAGCUUACUAGACUCUCAUUCGGGAGGAUGACCAUUCAAACCCGCGUCUGGCCAUCCUGAUUUCAGUAAACCAUUUCGGCCAGAUACCAGGAUAGUUCCUUUGAAAGAGCAUGGCUGACUUUGUUCCCUAAUCCUAUGGGACCGAUGAUCUUGCUGUUUGGUCACCUCCCCCAAAUCAGCCAGUAAUUAAAUCAAUCAAUCAACCAACCAAGUAUCUGUAUUUUUGGCUUUGUAUUGUUUUGUAAAUCAGUUGAUGUGCUGUGCUAUACAUAAGUAUAAAAGAUUUAUUUAGCAUGUGGCUACAAGUAUAUGAGAUCAUACACAGUAUAAAAGCAAGUGUGCACUACCAGUGCUUAACUCACUUCACUCACACCAUGUAACUGUUCUUCCUUUGAUAGUCUCACUUCAGUAACUUGUUUCCAUGCACACAAAAAUGAUUUUAUAUUGUCAGCUACUUUACUACGUAUUCCCUCACAGUUAAGUUGAUGGUUGUGACACAUGAAAUAUCCUUGAAAAGUCAACAAACUAGUCUAAAUUAGUGGAAUCUUACCUGUAAGGUCUGAAGUUGCAACCGCGUCAUAGUAGGUACUGACUUAAGCCAUCCACCAGUGCUCUGCUCUUCCUGGUAGUAGAAAAUUAUUGUAAAGCCUCAUGUCUCCUACAAAAAUUACUUAAAAAUUCUGAAAUUAAUGUGUGGUGUAAGAUCCUUUGUCUAUCAGUAACUCAAUUAUUUGUUUUUGAUUUCAAAUUGUCCAAGAGUUUUUUCUUAAAAUAGAUGAAAUUUUUGUGCCCAGAAAAGUUCCUUGCUCGAAAACUGGCAGGCACUAAGCUUUUCACAGUGGAAGUGGCAAGACAGUGGGAUCUGACAAUAUUGGCCUCCUAUCAAUGUAUUGGUAAUGGGAACAAUCCAGUCCACUUGCUAUCAGAUGCUGACUAUACUACCUGACAAAAAAGUAAAGCAACCAGAAGACAUUGUUAAUGUUAUUGUAACUUUGUACACAUACUUGCUGUUGCAGGUAUUUAAAUGAUUGGAGUUACAUUCCUUUGUGUCAGGUGGAAUGGCCGUUAGUGUUGUUACGAAGCCUGGUAGGAUGUAUAAGGGGCAGAGACAGCAUCAGAUGUUGACGAUUACUCUGAAUGACACAGAAAUGCUGCACACUCGCCUGAGGCAGUGUUGUGAGCACUUAGCAGUUUGAAAGGAUCCCAUUGGGGAUCUCAGUUUGGCCGGCUGAUCAAAUUGAGCAAUAUCUAUAUUUGUUAGGCGUUCUGAUGUCACAAGGACCCAGUGUGGGACUGCAUGGGAAAGUGAGGGCAGGCAUACCUGUCAAGGUCAUGCUUGACCAGAUCUGACCACCAUCACAAGGGACAACUGCUGUAUUCUGCACUGAGCACAUAGCAGUCUAUUCACAGCUGUGACUGUAAUUCAAGAACAAGUAAUGGGCACUCUGCAACAUUGUGUUAUCCCACACCAUUGGUUGGUGAUGAGCAGUAUCUGGAUUAGGAAAUUACUGUCGCAAGCAUAGGCUGCUGUUAAUGCUAUGACACAAGGAGCUGAGUGACCAGGAAACGUGGACUUCUGAUGAAUUGUAUCACCUUAAGUUCAGCGAUGACUUACAGUUCUGCACUAGCGCGGGGGUCCAUUAAUGGCAACAUGUGGGUAGGUUGUGUUCUUCCAAUAUUUUGGAGAGGCACAGUCUUGUUACUUCUAGUGUCAUUGUGUGGGGAGCCACUGAGUGUGACUUAAUAAAGUUAUGGCUUGUAGUGAUUAAGGGAAUUUUGACAGCACAAUGGUAUGUCGUGGACAUCCUGCAUCCCCUCAUAGAACAGUAUAGUGGGGCUAGUUUUCAACAGGGCAGUGCUUGACAACACAGUUUGUGUGUGUGUGUGUGUGUGUGUGUGUGUGUGUGAGAGAGUGAGAUAUUGAGGUUCUUUACAUAGCCAGUAAGAAGAAUGAGAGAAACCAGCUUCAGCGUCAGCUCCAUCCUGGUGCCAGUGUCCAGGAGAUCAAGGACUAGUUACAACAGUUGUGGGCCAGUGUGCCUCAGCAGUGGAUACAAUGGCUUUGACACAUUUCCCCACCAAAUUGGUGCUUACACCCAGACCACAAGGAGUUCCAUGUCAUAGUCAUAAGAGGGAUCAUACUGCCAAAUUCUUGUAAAUGUAACUCAGUUUUGAAAUUAAAAAAUAUCGCAUAUCCUUUCAAC
Molecule: long non-coding RNA, 3107 nt
Organism: Schistocerca americana (American grasshopper)
Lineage: Eukaryota; Metazoa; Arthropoda; Insecta; Orthoptera; Acrididae
Exons: 3
Source: RefSeq, a predicted model, not a curated record